GAUGGGGUUUGAUCAUUUGUUGGAUCAGCAAAUGGCUUCAGAAACUUGCUGAAGUUUGCAAUUGGUUGUGAGGACAGGCACACACUUCAAACAAGGACUGUUCUGUUCAGAGGCCUUGUUUGUUUAAAUCCCCACGUGAAAUCUCUUCAGCUUCUUCUCAAAGUUGUAUUUGGAUCAGUUUGCUGUGGUAGUAAAUUUGAAAUACAAUGAUUAGCUGUACGGCAAUGGGAGGCCUACUCAAAUAUCUGGGACCUCCAAAUGGAAAGCUUGUUUCCUGUGGGAUCUGAAGAAAUGCUUUCUCAGUCGUGGUAAAACUAGUAGCAUUCCUGAAGGUGGUCGCAUGUCCUGGGCGCUGCAUCCUCCCUUUGUCUCUGGUACCUCUCCAGCUGCGUGUGCACUGGAUAUAGAUGUCAGGCUGCAUGCGUCUGGCACAGGAAUAACAGAUCUGGGGGGCAGCCCUUUGUCAGUGACAAAUACUUCGGCUGUCACCGUGCCCCCAGGAUCUGUUUCUCAUUGGCAGUCAACC
Molecule: long non-coding RNA, 526 nt
Organism: Strigops habroptila (Kakapo)
Lineage: Eukaryota; Metazoa; Chordata; Aves; Psittaciformes; Psittacidae
Exons: 2
Source: RefSeq, a predicted model, not a curated record